UGUUAAAAAGCCAUCCAUUUGUACUAUUAAAAAUUGACAUGAUUGAUGGAAUAACCAGACAGUGACAUGUGGCGUGCCAUGUGCACCUUAUAUUGACAUACAUGAACCAGUCUUUAAAAGUAGAAAUGGAUAAAAUUUUUAACA
This is a non-coding RNA of Gossypium hirsutum (cotton), 144 nucleotides long. The record is from Rfam. NCBI's taxonomy places the organism in Eukaryota, Viridiplantae, Streptophyta, Magnoliopsida, Malvales, Malvaceae.